GCGAGCUUGCCUAGAUGAUUUUAGUGCUUGCACUAAAUGAAACUAGAUACAAGCGAGCGGCGGACGGGUGAGUAACACGUGGGUAACCUGCCCAAGAGACUGGGAUAACACCUGGAAACAGAUGCUAAUACCGGAUAACAACACUAGACGCAUGUCUAGAGUUUGAAAGAUGGUUCUGCUAUCACUCUUGGAUGGACCUGCGGUGCAUUAGCUAGUUGGUAAGGUAACGGCUUACCAAGGCAAUGAUGCAUAGCCGAGUUGAGAGACUGAUCGGCCACAUUGGGACUGAGACACGGCCCAAACUCCUACGGGAGGCAGCAGUAGGGAAUCUUCCACAAUGGACGAAAGUCUAAUGGAGCAACGCCCCGUGAGUGAAGAAGGGUUUCGGCUCGUAAAGCUCUGUUGGUAGUGAAGAAAGAUAGAGGUAGUAACUGGCCUUUAUUUGACGGUAAUUACUUAGAAAGUCACGGCUAACUACGUGCCAGCAGCCGCGGUAAUACGUAGGUGGCAAGCGUUGUCCGGAUUUAUUGGGCGUAAAGCGAGUGCAGGCGGUUCAAUAAGUCUGAUGUGAAAGCCUUCGGCUCAACCGGAGAAUUGCAUCAGAAACUGUUGAACUUGAGUGCAGAAGAGGAGAGUGGAACUCCAUGUGUAGCGGUGGAAUGCGUAGAUAUAUGGAAGAACACCAGUGGCGAAGGCGGCUCUCUGGUCUGCAACUGACGCUGAGGCUCGAAAGCAUGGGUAGCGAACAGGAUUAGAUACCCUGGUAGUCCAUGCCGUAAACGAUGAGUGCUAAGUGUUGGGAGGUUUCCGCCUCUCAGUGCUGCAGCUAACGCAUUAAGCACUCCGCCUGGGGAGUACGACCGCAAGGUUGAAACUCAAAGGAAUUGACGGGGGCCCGCACAAGCGGUGGAGCAUGUGGUUUAAUUCGAAGCAACGCGAAGAACCUUACCAGGUCUUGACAUCCAGUGCAAACCUAAGAGAUUAGGUGUUCCCUUCGGGGACGCUGAGACAGGUGGUGCAUGGCUGUCGUCAGCUCGUGUCGUGAGAUGUUGGGUUAAGUCCCGCAACGAGCGCAACCCUUGUCAUUAGUUGCCAUCAUUAAGUUGGGCACUCUAAUGAGACUGCCGGUGACAAACCGGAGGAAGGUGGGGAUGACGUCAAGUCAUCAUGCCCCUUAUGACCUGGGCUACACACGUGCUCAAUGGACGGUACAACGAGAAGCGAACCUGCGAAGGCAAGCGGAUCUCUUAAAGCUGUUCUCAGUUCGGACUGUAGGCUGCAACUCGCCUACACGAAGCUGGAAUCGCUAGUAAUCGCG
RNAcentral lists this ribosomal RNA (1318 nucleotides) under uncultured bacterium. Its description in RNAcentral is "bacterial SSU rRNA". It matches the Rfam family "Bacterial small subunit ribosomal RNA", at positions 53 to 1346 of the family's 1533-position model. The record is from RNAcentral.